CAGUCGCCGCGGUAAUACGAGGGGUGCAAGCGCUAUUCGGAUUGAUUGGGUGUAAAGGGUGUGCAGACGGCUUAUUAAGUCACUUGUUAAAUUCUUCGGCCUAACUGAAGGUCUGCAAGUGAUACUGAUGAGCUAGAGGGUGGAAGAGAGAAGUGGAAUUCUCGGAGUAGCGGUAAAAUGCGUAGAUCUCGAGAGGAACACCAAUGGCGAAGGCAGCUUCUUGGUCCAUUCCUGACGUUCAUACACGAAAGCGUGGGGAGCAAACAGGAUUAGAGACCCCAGUAGUCCCUGUCUCUUAUAC
This 301-nucleotide ribosomal RNA is filed under the name uncultured bacterium. RNAcentral describes it as "partial 16S ribosomal RNA". It matches the Rfam family "Bacterial small subunit ribosomal RNA", at positions 509 to 807 of the family's 1533-position model. The record is from RNAcentral.